Molecule: long non-coding RNA, 377 nt
Organism: Patiria miniata (bat star)
Lineage: Eukaryota; Metazoa; Echinodermata; Asteroidea; Valvatida; Asterinidae
Exons: 3
Source: RefSeq, a predicted model, not a curated record
CACCGUUAAUUGUGAAGAGCGCCACCUGUUGUUUGGUUUUCCCGAUAAUGUAUGUGGCGGUAGGCUAGGCCUGUACACCAAGCAUGUUUUGUCAGUUGACAGAGUUUGAAGGUUCUACCAAGGAUGUCAACUGUGGAGCACAUACAGGAUGCAGAGCACACUGAUGACGUAUCACCAUGGCAACGCGUAUUGCUCAACAUCACUUGAAUGAGAUUGUACCUGACACCGUUAAUUGUAAAGAGCGCCACCUGUUGUUUGGUUAUCGAUCAACAUCAUGCAGCAGAUAAUGCAGCGGUAGGCUAUAUAGGCCUGUACGUCAGAGUUACUUCAACAACAACGAUAGGUUCAACUACAACUAUGCGCAGGCCAAAGCCACA